RNAcentral lists this ribosomal RNA (253 nucleotides) under uncultured bacterium. RNAcentral's name for it is "partial 16S ribosomal RNA". It matches the Rfam family "Bacterial small subunit ribosomal RNA", at positions 524 to 776 of the family's 1533-position model. The record is from RNAcentral.
UACAGAGGGUGCGAGCGUUGUUCGGAAUUAUUGGGCGUAAAGGGCGCGUAGGCGGUGCGGUAAGUCACCUGUGAAAUCUCCUGGCUCAACUGGGAGCUUGCAGGCGAAACUGCCGUGCUGGAGUGUGGGAGAGGUGCGUGGAAUUCCCGGUGUAGCGGUGAAAUGCGUAGAUAUCAGGAGGAACACCCGUAGCGAAGGCGGCACUCUGGGCCGGAACUGACGCUGAGGAGCGAAAGCGUGGGGAGCGAACAGG